GGUUAUGCUGUGGGCUGGGUUAUCUCAGGUUCAUCGGCGCUGAAGGUUUGAUCUUCUUGGGGUUCGUCGACGUGCUUGGGUUUUUUUGGAAUUUGAGUCGGUGCAUCUUCAUUGUCUUUGCGAAUCAGGUUCAUGUUCCGAUUCUCUAUCAUGCUUUAAUUCUAUGAAGUAGUAGAUCUAGUUUGUUUGCGGCACGAAGCCAUUACUGUUGGUUUUAUUGUUGGGCACGAAGCCAUUUCUAUGAAUGUUUGUAAAAGAUUAGUUGAUUGGAAAUUGUGGGCACGAAGUCAUUUAUGUGAAUUUCUUUGAAGAGUUGUUGAAAUUUGAGGGCACAAAGCCAUUUCUGUGAAUUUCUUUGAAGAGUUAUUGAAAUUUAAGGGCACGAAGCCAUUUCUGUGAAUGUUUGUGACGAAUAGUUGAAUUUCUAUGACCACUGUUAGUUAAAAUUUGAAGCAUUUCUUGCUACUUUGUUAUUCUUGAAGGGUUGAGGAGAUAAUUGUUUCUUGAUACGACUAUUAAUCUAACAAAUAGCGAUGGCAUCUUCAUCUGUAAAAAUUGAAGGGCUUUUGGGAAUGUUGACAAUUAAGUUGAAUGACAAGAAUUUUUCGAAAUGGGUGCUUCAGUUCAAAUCUGUUCUAAAAGGAUAUAAGUUGUUUGAUCACUUUGAUGGGUCGCUUUCAUCUCCACCAAAAUUUGUGGUUAGCACUGAUCGUGGUGUUACAAAUGAAAUUUCUGAGGCAUGUACAGAAUGGGAAGCUGUUGAUCUUGCUCUCUUGAGUUUGUUGAUUAUUACAUUGACUGAUGAAUCUAUUGAGCAUGUUUUGGGAUCUAGGACUGCUCAUGAGGCCUGGACUAAUCUUCAAGAUAAGUAUGCUUCUGUUUCUAAAGCAAGGGUGAAUACGUUGAAGACUGAAUUUCAGACCACGCAGAAGGGUAGUGACUCUAUUGAUCAAUAUCUGUCUAAACUUAGAAAUAUUAAAGAUCAGUUAAUUGCUGCGAGAGAAUUUGUGACUAAUAAUGAUUUCAUUGUUGCUGCUCUGUCUGGUUUACCAAGGGAAUAUUCUGUGAUUAGAACAGUGAUUUACACAAGAGACACUACUAUGUCCUUAAGGGAAUUUAGAGAGCAGUUACUAUGUGCAGAAAGGGAGGCUGAGUCUGUGGUGAGUGGUUUAUCUCAAAAAUUUUCUGGAAUGUAUGUGCAAGGGAAUGUUGCUUCUUCAUAAUUUACAAUGGCUUAGGGUCAUCAAGUAAGUCUGAUGAGGUUGUGUAUAGUACUUGAGGGAUUCUUACAAGGGUUCUAAAUGCAAUUCCAUCUUUUGGAGUGCCAAAUCAGGGAGCAUCAUCAUCUAAUUCUGUAAUGCAUCUAUCACCAAUGCCAGUGUCUAAUAUUCAGUAUCCAUCACCAUUUCCUAGUACUCAGUAUCUUAUGGUGCAGCCUCAACCUCCAGUGUAUCCUGAUUUCUCUAAUGUAUCAUUAUUUCCAAGUAAUCAGUUUCCUAUAGUGCAUCAUCAACCUCAAUUCUAUCCUGAUUUGUCUAAUGCAUAUGGCUUUGUUGGGAAUACUAAUGCACAUAGACAGUAUUCUAAUUCCAAUAAUGGUACAAGACAUGUCUAUGGUACAAAACCAAAUGGUAAUGGUACCUUUAGAUCAUCCAACUAUGGUGGUAAUUGUGGGAAUACAUUAGGCGGAAGAUAGAAUAGUGGAAAUUGGCAGUCAUGGUCUGGAAACACUGAAACUAGGCCAAAUAUUGUCCCUGAAUGUUAGAUAUGUUCCAAGAGGGGGCAUACAGCUCCAAAUUGCUGAAAGAGGUCUACCAAUCCGAGUUCAAGUGGAUCAAUACUUGAGUACCAAAUUUGUGGCAAGCGAGGUCACAGUGCAUUAGAUUGUCAUCACAGGAACAAUUUUGCCUAUCAAGUAUCUGCACCUACUCCUACAUGAACUGCCAUGCAAGCUCAAGCUCCAACUAACUUUCUUCCAAAUGACUUAUGGAUCAUUGACACUGGAGCAUCAUAUCACAUAACAGCAGAUCUCCAUUCCUUGCAGCAAGUUUCUCCAUAUAAGGGCAAUGAUAAAAUAACAAUUGGCAAUGGGGAAGGUUUGCAAAUCAAACAUAUUGGUUCUACAUGUUUGAAGACAUUACCUCAUUCAUUACUUUUGAGAAAUGUCUUACAUGUUCUAACUAUUGUUGUUAGUCUAUUAUCUGUCAAACAAAUAUGUAAAGACAACUAUUGCUGGUGUAUAUGUGAUGAUACUAACUUCUAUGUGCAGGACAAGGUAACCAAGGCUGUAAUAUACCACGGAAGGAGCAGUGAUGGUGAGUUGUUUCAGAUUUCGAUCAAGAUGUUUUAAAAAAAAAAUUAGUUUCUCCAGUUCAAAAGUCAGUUGCUUUGCUCUCAAGCUCGGUAAACCCAGCUGAGAUUAAGGGGGGGAAGAUAAGUGUAGAAACAUGUCAUUAGUAGAAUAAGGGUGUGUGCCAUAUCAGCAAAAUACAGUUGAGAAUUGUUGUUAGUUGCUGAAUGGUUAAAAGUUAGUUAGAUGGAUAAAGAUGAGCUGACAAGUGUAAAAUGCUAUAUAUAGCAUAACUUGUAAGCCUUUAGAUUCUUACGAAGUAAUCUGAAAAGUUUCUACAUUUCUCUCUCUCUCUCUCUCUCUCUCUCUCUCUCUCUCUCUCUUUUCUCUCUGCUAUUUUCUCUGUAAACCUUUAUACAUAUUUCUUCAUUCUUCACUAGAUUCAUAGUGUUAAUAAAGACGAGCUUUACAUUGUUCGGCAGAGCCAUCAAGAUUACGUUUGAUACGGAAAACCCAUUUGUAACCAACAAUGUUCUGAUCUAGAUGAGGAUGGACAAGAGACCAUGUUUGAUUACGCAAAAGAGCAUUAAUUUCCUCCAUCAUGGCAAGGCACCUGUGUGGAUGUUUAGAGGCUUGUAAGAAACCUGUAGAUUCUUCAAUUUCAAGGGAGGCUAAAAGAGCAUGUGGCAAAGGAUACUGGACAGUGCCAUCAGUGCAAGUUUUAGGUUGAAUAAUCUCGUCACGAACCCGCGUGAUCAUAGGAUGAGUGGAAGUUGUAGUCGAGGAGGCAAGUUGGUGUAGAAAUUGUCACAGGACUAGAAGGUGUUGCAAUUAUGUGCACGGUCUCAGAGUAAUCUGACAUAUGAGUGUUCAUAGGCCCAGUGAGCAUGGUUGAAGAAGUAGGCACAUGCAGGGAAGGGAAAUAUUGAAGAAACCUAGGACAUAAGAAAACCUAGACGAGUGUUACCAUGUAAAAUUAUGACUCCUUGUAUUCAUGUGUGGAACAUAUUACAAUAUAUAGGAGUAUAUUAAUCCUUAUUGAGGUAGAAAUCUUACACUAAUCACAAUUGGAACUUACAUUCCUAAUUACAUGCUACAAUAGCAUAAAGAAUUUCAGAUUAAUUAAAGAUAAUUCAUGCAGUAACUGGAAUUGAGAUAUAUAAAAUCAAAGCUGGAGAACGAGGCCUUUAACACCAACUACAAUUCAUUAAGUAAAGAAGCGUUGUGCAUGACUAUUUUUGGAUAUUGAUCUCCAUUCAUAUAGAAAAUCUUCAAUUCAAAUUUGAAAGUUAGCCUCUACAAAUUGUUAUAUAUUUGCCACAUGUCUUAACUAAUUUCGUUUACCGAAGCAAUGAUAAGGAGCGUCUAGGGCCGAUUUUAGAAGAUAAAGAACAUUCUUUGGUGCUCCACAGUCAGAAACCUUGACUUCGAGUAAACAAAUUUCGAGGGUAAUCUCGAUUAUUGGAAGUAAAAAAUGAUCGCUCCACUCUCAAGGCUGCUUGGACCAUACCCUUAUAAGAGUCGUACUGCAUUAUUGACAUAUAAGGGCAGAUCUCAUCAGAUAUAGCAAUGUCAAACUGAUUCAUCAUCUUACGGGUUUUCAUAAACGGAGGGGACAUGUUUCACCAAACGCCUGAAUUUACAAUUGAGUUCAGUCAAUGACAUAUUCCCUGGCAAAAAUCAUAAAAUUCUUGUCUCUUGCUAGCUUUAUACUGGGGACUUAGAAAAUAAUCUUAAAAGAGUUCCCAAAAAGUUCUCCAUGUCUGACCAACUCAACCACGGUCAGUCCUUGAAUUGGUAAAUUCUUGGUCUCUUCUUCCUUAGCUUCAUUUUGGUUUUUAAAUCACUGGGAAUGAUGGAGUUUUAACCCCAAAAUGGAGCCAGGGAAGUUUCCCUGCCAAAAUCCUAGCAUUCUCAUUUGUUGGGUUCGGCGAUCCGUGAGCCAAAUCAGGUCAACAAGACCCGCCACCCAAUCUGAGCCUAAACCCAUUAGCCCAAUAACCAAGCCCAAAACCUUUGCCCCAAUAACCCAUAAACCCGGAUCCAACCUAGGCCUAACCCAACAACCCAAGCACAUAUACGACCCAGAUCCUAGCCGACCCGAGCCUAAUACCCAGUUCCACGAUCGGUGUGUGGGUCCAAGUGUGGGCGUUGCCAGGGCCGGUAUUGUGCUUUGUCACUGUCUAUGACGGCGACCACGACAGCAUAGGCGAAUUUUUCGAAAACCUAUCGUGGCACGUGG
Molecule: long non-coding RNA, 4532 nt
Filed under: Malus domestica (apple)
Lineage: Eukaryota; Viridiplantae; Streptophyta; Magnoliopsida; Rosales; Rosaceae
Description: long non-coding RNA (MDOM_LNC019499)
Source: RNAcentral